RNAcentral lists this ribosomal RNA (374 nucleotides) under uncultured bacterium. RNAcentral describes it as "bacterial SSU rRNA". It matches the Rfam family "Bacterial small subunit ribosomal RNA", at positions 523 to 898 of the family's 1533-position model. The record is from RNAcentral.
AUACGUAGGGGGCGAGCGUUAUCCGGAAUUACUGGGCGUAAAGGGUGCGCAGGCGGCCAUUUAAGUCAGAUGUGAAAGGCUACGGCUUAACCGUAGUUAGCAUUUGAAACUAGAAGGCUUGAGUGCAGUAGAGGAGAGUGGAAUUCCUAGUGUAGCGGUGAAAUGCGUAGAUAUUAGGAGGAACACCAGUGGCGAAGGCGACUCUCUGGACUGCAACUGACGCUGGGGCACGAAAGCGUGGGUAGCGAACAGGAUUAGAUACCCUGGUAGUCCACGCCGUAAACGAUGAGUGCUAGGUGUUGGAGGAGACAUCCUUCAGUGCCGGAGCUAACGCAUUAAGCACUCCGCCUGGGGAGUACGGCCGCAAGGUUGAA